GAUGAAGAACGCAGCGAAAUGCGAUACUUGGUGUGAAUUGCAGAAUCCCGUGAACCAUCGAGUCUUUGAACGCAAGUUGCGCCUCAAGCCAUUAGGUUGAGGGCACGUCUGCCUGGGCGUCACAUAUCGUUGCCUGAUGCCAGUUUCCUCGUGAUGGGUGACUGUGCAGGGCGAAUGGUGGCUUCCCGUGAGCAUUGUUGCCUCAUGGUUGGUUGAAAAUUGAGUCCUUGGUAGGGAGCGCCGUGAUAGAUGGUGGUUGAGUGACGAACGAGACCCAAUCAUGUGAGACCCCUACCGAAUUUGGCCUUCAUGACCCACAUGCGUCUUUGGAACGCUCAUGACGAGACCUCAGGUCAGGCGGGGCUACCCGCUGAGUUUAAGCAUAUCAAUAAGCGGAGGA
Molecule: unclassified non-coding RNA, 400 nt
Filed under: soil metagenome
Description: partial contains 5.8S ribosomal RNA, internal transcribed spacer 2, and large subunit ribosomal RNA
Rfam family: 5.8S ribosomal RNA (bases 1-122)
Source: RNAcentral